This is an RNA transcript of Triticum aestivum (bread wheat), 2362 nucleotides long. RefSeq lists it as uncharacterized. The transcript is spliced from 2 exons. The record is from RefSeq and is a predicted model, not a curated record. Lineage: Eukaryota; Viridiplantae; Streptophyta; Magnoliopsida; Poales; Poaceae.
GGAGGAAUGUUUGCUCCACUUCUGGGAGUCGCCCGCGAGAGAGAAAACUAGGGUUCAUCCAUCCUUUUCAUGGUGGGAAGGAAAAAUUCGUGGGGAUCCUAGGUCGUUUGCUCAAGUUGUUUCUUCUCCUCCCACCAAGCCUGCAGUAGAUCCCAGCCUCGAAUCGCAUAAGAUGAGGGAAGAAGGGUUUGGUGCUGGCCGCCAUGGCCACGGCGCGGGCCGUUUCAACCACGGCGAGGGGCGCGGUCGUGGGGAUGGAGGUGGUCGCGGGCACGCAGAGGUGGCGGUGGGGGAGAGGACGUGGCCGGGAGAGCCAUGUCUGGACUCGCAAGACGGCCGGGGCUUCCUCCUCCAACGCCCCGUCCGGAUCUGAUGAGACGGGAUUCGAUCGAUGGGAGAAGGCUGCGGGGGCCAGCCAAGACGCCUUUGCUCACCAGGAGCGUUGGGGCUCUGAUGAGGGUGACAAGGCUCUCCACAACUCCUACAACUCUGCGCCUCCUGUUAAGAUGCGUGAGAUCCCUCCUAAUCCUGAUCCUAUGGUUGCUUCUUUUGAAUCCUUUCAAAUCUGCAAUCUGUUAGGCCACCCUACUGCUAAAUUCCCCCAGGCUCUCUAUGUUAGAUGCAAGAAGAAAGGGCAUCUCUCUGUCAUCUGUACUGACUUUCUUCCUUGGGAGUGCAUAGCUGCGAUGUGUGCUUCCAAGCUAAAGUGCAAGGAUUUUCACUAUAUCCAUGAUUACUCUGUUAGUAGUCAGAACAAUGAUAGGAUUGUUAAGGUCAUUAUUACCAUAGUUGAGGGAGAGAUUACCACCAAGAAGCUAGUGGAUGAGUUUGAGAAAUACAUUGGGCAGGGAUGGCGUUGCUCAGCCCAUCUGAUUGCACCAAAACAAUAUGUGAUGCGUUUUCCCAACCAGAGAGAGGUGGAUAGAGCUGUCUUCAUUGAAUACAUUACUCUCAAGUCUCUAGGAGUGGUUGUUUGUAUCACCCCAUGGUCUGAGGAUGUGGAAUCUGAGGGCUUGCUGAAAGUGGGUUGGGUGAAGAUUAGCAAGAUCCCCCCCCCCCCCACAACAAGCGCUGUGAAAAAAAUGUUGCUUUUGUUGGAGGCUUAGUUGGGGUGACCCUGGACAUAUAUAUGUCUACUCUCCACCGUCCCUCUCAUGUUCGUGCUAAAUUGGGAUGUCGCGACAUUGAUAAGCUUCCCACGUCUGCUGAAGGGUGUCUGGGAGGACGUUUCUAUCAUUUUCAGUAUGAGGUUGAGGAGAUUUUGGUGAGGAAUAUGGUCCAAGAAGAAGAGCCCGUCCAGAUCCCACGCUAUGUUGGCCAAAGAGUGAUGACACCUAAGAAAAAAUGGGAUGAUACACCGCCUGAUGAGAAUAAUAAGUCCUCUGAAAGGAAUGAUAACAAAAAUACCUCUUCUUAUCGUGGCGGCAAGGCCUGUUGCAUGCCGUCACUUGAUGAGAAGAAGAAAAUUCAUAAAGAGAACAACGCCUCUUGAAGUGAAACCAGUGGGGCCAGCGGUCCGCUACUGAUCGAGGAGAUGGCACUAGAACUUGCUGCUGCUUGCUCUCAGCAAAAUGUUUCUAUGGUGGCCCCCUCUCAAGAUGAAUAUGGUCUUGAUCCUAUUGAUCAUGAAUCUGACUACGAUCAAACUCUGAAGGUGAUUGCUGCUGUCACUUCACCCUCCUAUGAUUCUGUUGCUAGUCCUUCUUCUAACUCAGAUCAGAUCUCUAAGGUGAUGGGAGAGGUGGAAGAAAACAUGAAGAUAUCCAAGGAUUACAUGGUACAACUUCCUCAUCCUCAUUGCGAGGAGAUUAUUCCUACACCACCACUUGCCCCUGAGCUUCCAGCGCAAUACUCAUCUUCAGCACAUGUAUAUGGAGGCGAGGGCCGCAUAUCUGGUCAAUGUCAAAAAUCUGAAAGGUCUACAGGCGGGCGACGACGUCACGCAACUUCGAGCAGGUGCUGAGAUGAUUCGCAACGGGACCCUGCUGCUGAUGAGGGUCUGCGACGCAACCAAGGGUGGAAUAUGAAGAAAGCUGGAGCGGGUGCUCUGUCGUCGGUCUCUUUUGGCACUUGUUCGCUGGGUGGCUUCGUAGUGGUUGCAUCUUAAAAACUGAGUACUGUUUAGCCCUGUUUCUUUGAUGGCUCUCCAUCCUGUUUUUGUAAUAGGACUAGUGUUAUUCUGGUGCUGCUCAGGUUUUCGUCCCAUAGCACUCGUUUCGAUGACGGGCGAGUGCGGUGGGUUUCCUAGCAGUGCGUUGAACUCGCUCUCCCCUUCUCCCUGUUCUUGGACUAUGUUUUGAACCUUGCAUUUCGGUUCUAAGUAAUCGAAAGGGGAUAGCCCGGUUCAAAAAAAAUUAGUUCA